RNAcentral lists this ribosomal RNA (828 nucleotides) under uncultured Staphylococcus sp. RNAcentral describes it as "bacterial SSU rRNA". It matches the Rfam family "Bacterial small subunit ribosomal RNA", at positions 55 to 868 of the family's 1533-position model. Lineage: Bacteria; Bacillati; Bacillota; Bacilli; Caryophanales; Staphylococcaceae. The record is from RNAcentral.
AUGCAAGUCGAGCGAACGGACGAGAAGCUUGCUUCUCUGAUGUUAGCGGCGGACGGGUGAGUAACACGUGGAUAACCUACCUAUAAGACUGGGAUAACUUCGGGAAACCGGAGCUAAUACCGGAUGAUAUUUUGAACCGCAUGGUUCAAAAGUGAAAGACGGUCUUGCUGUCACUUAUAGAUGGAUCCGCGCUGCAUUAGCUAGUUGGUAAGGUAACGGCUUACCAAGGCAACGAUGCAUAGCCGACCUGAGAGGGUGAUCGGCCACACUGGAACUGAGACACGGUCCAGACUCCUACGGGAGGCAGCAGUAGGGAAUCUUCCGCAAUGGGCGAAAGCCUGACGGAGCAACGCCGCGUGAGUGAUGAAGGUCUUCGGAUCGUAAAACUCUGUUAUUAGGGAAGAACAUAUGUGUAAGUAACUGUGCACAUCUUGACGGUACCUAAUCAGAAAGCCACGGCUAACUACGUGCCAGCAGCCGCGGUAAUACGUAGGUGGCAAGCGUUAUCCGGAAUUAUUGGGCGUAAAGCGCGCGUAGGCGGUUUUUUAAGUCUGAUGUGAAAGCCCACGGCUCAACCGUGGAGGGUCAUUGGAAACUGGAAAACUUGAGUGCAGAAGAGGAAAGUGGAAUUCCAUGUGUAGCGGUGAAAUGCGCAGAGAUAUGGAGGAACACCAGUAGCGAAGGCGGCUUUCUGGACUGCAACUGACACUGAGGCACGAAAGCGUGGGUAGCAAACAGGAUUAGAUACCCUGGUAGUCCACGCUGUAAACGAUGAGUACUAGGUGUCGGGGGUUACCCCCCUCGGUGCCCAGCUACGCAUUAAGUACU